This 55-nucleotide transfer RNA is filed under the name Armillifer armillatus. RNAcentral describes it as "tRNA-Glu". RNAcentral also lists the same sequence under 4 other names. Lineage: Eukaryota; Metazoa; Arthropoda; Ichthyostraca; Porocephalida; Armilliferidae. The record is from RNAcentral.
AUUUCUUUAGUGUAAAUAACACAUUAUCCCUUCAAGAUAAAAAUAAUAAGAAAUG